AAAAAAAAAAAAGGAAAAUGAGGAAAAUCGGUGGAUUGUUACACAACAUGUCCCCUUUCGUGGUCGCCUUUCUUUUUCUUUUUUCCUUUUUCCUUUUUCCUGUUUCCCCACCCUUGUCGGUAGGACUGGAUUGAGAUUGGGAUCUGUGGUCUCCACUCUGCAACAGGAAAGAAGCAAACCAGGCAAGUUUUGCACCUCUCUGUUGAGGGGGGAGAGAAGCAAGAUAAUAAACAAUUCCUGUAGAACUUUUUUUUUCAA
RNAcentral lists this non-coding RNA (258 nucleotides) under Palpitomonas bilix. The record is from RNAcentral.